UAAAAUCUUGAGUCGCCACUCUCACAUAUAUUUUCUUCUCACCUCAACUCUUCACUCUAUCCCACCGAUCAACCACAUACAAUGAGACCACCAAGAGGGCGUGGCGGCGGCGGCGGCUUUAGAGGCGGAAGAGAUGGUGGUCGUGGUUUCGGUGGCGGCCGUGGAAGAGGUGGCGGCGGACGUUUCGGCGGUGGCGGUGGGCGUGGUUUUCAAGAUGAAGGCCCUCCGGCUGAAGUUGUAGGUCCGUUUACUUUUAUCUCUAUCUCUCUAUGUAAUUUUUAUCUCAUAUUGUAAUUAAUGGUUUAAUUUUAAUUGUGUGUAGAGGUUGCUUCAUUUGUACAUGCUUGCGAAGGUGAUGCUGUCACGAAGCUAACUAAUGAGAAAAUACCCUAUUUUAAUGCCCCCAUUUAUCUCGAGAACAAGACCCAAAUCGGAAAAGUAGAUGAAAUUUUCGGCCCCAUUAAUGAAUCGGUGAGCCCCUUUUCAGCAAUUCUUGCUGGUGUUAUUGUAUUAGUUUAUUGAUUUAUAUGGUAUUUUAGGCCUUUGUUUGGUUCUGAUUGUGUAACGUUUGUAGUUUUUCUCGGUUAAAAUGAUGGAAGGAAUUGUAGCUACUUCUUACUCAGCUGGGGAUAAGUUUUUCAUCGACCCGUAUAAGCUUUUGCCUCUGUCCAGAUUUCUUCCACAGCCAAAGUAAGUUAGUUAUUCACUAAUGCUCAAGUUGAAAUUUCCAGGAUAAUUUUAAUACUGUGAACUAUGUUAUUGUACUUAAAGCAUGCUGUGUUAGUAGGAAUAUCUAUUGUUUCUCUGACCAGUAUGGAUAUAUACAGCAUUUGAUUGUAGAAUUGAACAUAUUAUUCUAUUAAAUCGUCAAACUAGUUAUGGUGGUAUGAUGAUAUUGUUUGAUAUUCUUUAGAUUGGGAGUGGAGUGACAACAUUUAAAGAGGGUCAGUUUAAAAAUAUAAAACCUGUCCAUUGAAAUUUGAAACCAUUAUUGUCAAGAGAAGUAUGGCAUGUUUUGAUCUGUGUUGUGACUACUGCAACAAUAUAGCAAGAUUACGGGAUGUAUAUUUAUAUUUGUUAGGGUAAGAAAUAUGUCCCGGCUUUCACAGAACCUGCAAACUUGAUGGUACUUUGAAAUUGCUACUAUAUUAUAUUAAACAACUUAUCCGUUGAAAAAGUAAAUGGACUCAUGUUGAGUCAUAUUUGUGUUUCUGCCUAUAUUACUCGGACUCGGCUGAAAGUGUCCAAAUUGGAUACGUGUCCGAGUGUCGGACUCGGCAAUAUUUUGAAAAUUCUACAUGUUUUUGGCCUAAAAUAAGUGUCGGAGUGCCCACACCCAUGUCCGAGUGUCGAGUGUCCGACAUGGAUACUUGAGGCAAAAUGAAGAGUCCGGGUAACGUAGGUUUCUGCUCUAUAUUGUCCUUUCGUCUGUUGGACAACAUUUUUUAGUAUGAGAAAGCACUCUGUGAAACAUAAUUAGAAGACCAUCGGUAGACUGUAGUUGAUUUUGAGAUCACUUCUGCUAGAAGUUCUGAUUUAUCUGUAGACAGUGGCUGUUUUUAUUUGCUAGCAUUUGUGCGCUUCAUUAAUUUUGGUGUAUAUCACUAUGAUCAGGGGACAAGCACCAGCUGGUGGUAGAGGUGGAGGUCGUGGAGGGGGAAGAGGGGGUGGACGAGGAUUUAGUCGCGGUGGAGGAGGUGGUUUUCGUGGAAGGGGUGCUCCAAGAGGUGGGCGAGGAGGUGGCUUCAGAGGUGCAAGUCGUGGUGGAGGAGGUUUCAGGGGAAGAGGGAGAUCGUAGAGUAUUUGUAAUUUGUUUGUGCUUGUUUAAGUUCUGGAUACACAAUUUUAAUGAGCAUUAUGUAUUAGUACUGAUUUGAUUUUGUUAUGUGACUGGCCUAUGGAAUACCAAAGCUUUGAUUGUUUUUACAAUGUGCAUUGUGCAAUAUCAUCCCAGUUCCCAAACCUUAGAUUGCCUCUUAGAGUAGAUAUCUACUAGUAUGGUGCCUUAAUGAUUUCAUCAGAAAGGAACAUACCUUGUCAUGACCCAUCAUUCUACAGGAAUAUGGGGAGAUGAUAACCAUAGUUUUGCAGAAUCUAUGAAAACAUUUGACUGCAACAAGCUUUGUUUAUUCUAGCAGCAAUCAAGAGCUUGUGCGCAAUCCUGUUUGUACAACCUUGUUUACUCCGAAUCUCCCAUUUGGAGAUCUGCCCGUUUGUUUAAGAGAAGUAGAAUUUGCUUCUAGCUUCUGCUCUUUUUGACCGUGUUUAUGUAAAUAAGUUGACCAUUUGUGUAAAUAAGUAUAAGCAUUUUUAAAAAGUUGAGAAUGCUCUACUUCUUUUUUAAAAACUUUAGUAACUUAUUUACAUUUCAUUUUUAAUACACUUCUUUACUCUUUUUAAACCUGUCCAAAUGGUCUCUUCAUCUAUUUGACCCCUUUAAAUUCCUUUGUAUUUCUUCGUAUUUCUUUUUGUUUAGCUCUGUAUAUACUCUCAUCCUACAUAGACCUUUAAUGUUCUGCAUUUUACAUCCCUAUAUCUUCAUCCUUCGUGUUUACUAAUUUGAUGUUAGUAUGACCAUUUUUUAUUUUUCCGAAUUUAAUAUAUCCAGAUUAUUAAAUUAAAUACUAAGUAUUCAGUGAACACGUAUUAAAUGAAGAAUGGAAAAAUUGGUGGACUGUUGACGAGAAAAAACUAAAAAGGCGUGUGGGAACGAGGAUACAUACGUAAUUCCACCCCCGAACAAUUCACGACCAUGCUUAAACCCUAGAAAAUGAUAAAAUCUUGAGGCGCCACUCUCACAUUCAACUCUGAACUCUUUAUAUAUUUUCUUCUCACCUCAACUCUCACUCUAUCCUAUCAAUCAAAUUCAUACAAUGAGACCACCAAGAGGGCGUGGCGGCGGCGGCGGCUUUAGAGGCGGAAGAGACGGUGGUCGUGGUUUCGGUGGCGGCCGUGGAAGAGGCGGCGGCGGACGUUUCGGCGGUGGUGGUGGCCGUGGUUUUCAAGAUGAAGGCCCUCCUGC
Molecule: long non-coding RNA, 3022 nt
Filed under: Daucus carota (carrot)
Lineage: Eukaryota; Viridiplantae; Streptophyta; Magnoliopsida; Apiales; Apiaceae
Description: long non-coding RNA (DCAR_LNC003098)
Source: RNAcentral